This 174-nucleotide unclassified non-coding RNA is filed under the name Brucella sp. 191011898. Its description in RNAcentral is "BASRCI153". The record is from RNAcentral. Lineage: Bacteria; Pseudomonadati; Pseudomonadota; Alphaproteobacteria; Hyphomicrobiales; Brucellaceae.
GCAUUUUCGAGCCAAAAGUGCGAAGCGCCUACGCGGGGAAAUCAGUCCAUUGGACUGAUUUCUGAUCCCGCUUCGAUGCGCCGGAUAAUGCGUAGAAACAAAGAGAUAGAGCGGUUCCAACGAUUCUGUUAAAACAGGAACCGCUCCAGAACUAAACAGCCAGUCUUACCGGAU